GGGUUGUGAGGUUAAGCGACUAAGCGUACACGGUGGAUGCCCUGGCAGUCAGAGGCGAUGAAGGACGUGCUAAUCUGCGAUAAGCGUCGGUAAGGUGAUAUGAACCGUUAUAACCGGCGAUUUCCGAAUGGGGAAACCCAGUGUGUUUCGACACACUAUCAUUAACUGAAUCCAUAGGUUAAUGAGGCGAACCGGGGGAACUGAAACAUCUAAGUACCCCGAGGAAAAGAAAUCAACCGAGAUUCCCCCAGUAGCGGCGAGCGAACGGGGAGCAGCCCAGAGCCUGAAUCAGUGUGUGUGUUAGUGGAAGCGUCUGGAAAGGCGCGCGAUACAGGGUGACAGCCCCGUACACAAAAAUGCACAUGCUGUGAGCUCGAUGAGUAGGGCGGGACACGUGGUAUCCUGUCUGAAUAUGGGGGGACCAUCCUCCAAGGCUAAAUACUCCUGACUGACCGAUAGUGAACCAGUACCGUGAGGGAAAGGCGAAAAGAACCCCGGCGAGGGGAGUGAAAAAGAACCUGAAACCGUGUACGUACAAGCAGUGGGAGCACGCUUAGGCGUGUGACUGCGUACCUUUUGUAUAAUGGGUCAGCGACUUAUAUUCUGUAGCAAGGUUAACCGAAUAGGGGAGCCGAAGGGAAACCGAGUCUUAACUGGGCGUUAAGUUGCAGGGUAUAGACCCGAAACCCGGUGAUCUAGCCAUGGGCAGGUUGAAGGUUGGGUAACACUAACUGGAGGACCGAACCGACUAAUGUUGAAAAAUUAGCGGAUGACUUGUGGCUGGGGGUGAAAGGCCAAUCAAACCGGGAGAUAGCUGGUUCUCCCCGAAAGCUAUUUAGGUAGCGCCUCGUGAAUUCAUCUCCGGGGGUAGAGCACUGUUUCGGCAAGGGGGUCAUCCCGACUUACCAACCCGAUGCAAACUGCGAAUACCGGAGAAUGUUAUCACGGGAGACACACGGCGGGUGCUAACGUCCGUCGUGAAGAGGGAAACAACCCAGACCGCCAGCUAAGGUCCCAAAGUCAUGGUUAAGUGGGAAACGAUGUGGGAAGGCCCAGACAGCCAGGAUGUUGGCUUAGAAGCAGCCAUCAUUUAAAGAAAGC
Molecule: ribosomal RNA, 1101 nt
Filed under: Escherichia coli
Lineage: Bacteria; Pseudomonadati; Pseudomonadota; Gammaproteobacteria; Enterobacterales; Enterobacteriaceae
Description: partial 23S ribosomal RNA
Rfam family: Bacterial large subunit ribosomal RNA
Source: RNAcentral